CCUACGGGAGGCAGCAGUCGAGAAUCAUUCACAAUGGGGGAAACCCUGAUGGUGCGACGCCGCGUGGGGGAAUGAAGGUCUUCGGAUUGUAAACUCCUGUCAUGUGGGAGCAAAUUAAAAAGAUAGUACCACAAGAGGAAGAGACGGCUAACUCUGUGCCAGCAGCCGCGGUAAUACAGAGGUCUCAAGCGUUGUUCGGAAUCACUGGGCGUAAAGUGUGCGUAGGCUGUUUCGUAAGUCGUGUGUGAAAGGCGCGGGCUCAACCCGCGGACGGCACAUGAUACUGCGAGACUAGAGUACAGGAGGGGGAACCGGAAUGCUCGGUGUAGCAGUGAAAUGCGUAGAUAUCGAGAGGAACACUCGUGGCGAAGGCGGGUUCCUGGACAUUAACUGACGCUGAGGCACGAAGGCGAGGGGAGCGAAAGGGAUUAGAUACCCGGGUAGUC
RNAcentral lists this ribosomal RNA (446 nucleotides) under uncultured bacterium. Its description in RNAcentral is "partial 16S ribosomal RNA". It matches the Rfam family "Bacterial small subunit ribosomal RNA", at positions 338 to 795 of the family's 1533-position model. The record is from RNAcentral.